RNAcentral lists this ribosomal RNA (938 nucleotides) under Leuconostoc mesenteroides. RNAcentral's name for it is "bacterial SSU rRNA". It matches the Rfam family "Bacterial small subunit ribosomal RNA", at positions 51 to 973 of the family's 1533-position model. The record is from RNAcentral. Lineage: Bacteria; Bacillati; Bacillota; Bacilli; Lactobacillales; Lactobacillaceae.
AUAAUGCAAGUCGAACGCACAGCGAAAGGUGCUUGCACCUUUCAAGUGAGUGGCGAACGGGUGAGUAACACGUGGACAACCUGCCUCAAGGCUGGGGAUAACAUUUGGAAACAGAUGCUAAUACCGAAUAAAACUUAGUGUCGCAUGACACAAAGUUAAAAGGCGCUUCGGCGUCACCUAGAGAUGGAUCCGCGGUGCAUUAGUUAGUUGGUGGGGUAAAGGCCUACCAAGACAAUGAUGCAUAGCCGAGUUGAGAGACUGAUCGGCCACAUUGGGACUGAGACACGGCCCAAACUCCUACGGGAGGCUGCAGUAGGGAAUCUUCCACAAUGGGCGAAAGCCUGAUGGAGCAACGCCGCGUGUGUGAUGAAGGCUUUCGGGUCGUAAAGCACUGUUGUAUGGGAAGAACAGCUAGAAUAGGAAAUGAUUUUAGUUUGACGGUACCAUACCAGAAAGGGACGGCUAAAUACGUGCCAGCAGCCGCGGUAAUACGUAUGUCCCGAGCGUUAUCCGGAUUUAUUGGGCGUAAAGCGAGCGCAGACGGUUUAUUAAGUCUGAUGUGAAAGCCCGGAGCUCAACUCCGGAAUGGCAUUGGAAACUGGUUAACUUGAGUGCAGUAGAGGUAAGUGGAACUCCAUGUGUAGCGGUGGAAUGCGUAGAUAUAUGGAAGAACACCAGUGGCGAAGGCGGCUUACUGGACUGCAACUGACGUUGAGGCUCGAAAGUGUGGGUAGCAAACAGGAUUAGAUACCCUGGUAGUCCACACCGUAACGAUGAACACUAGGUGUUAGGAGGUUUCCGCCUCUUAGUGCCGAAGCUAACGCAUUAAGUGUUCCGCCUGGGGAGUACGACCGCAAGGUUGAAACUCAAAGGAAUUGACGGGGACCCGCACAAGCGGUGGAGCAUGUGGUUUAAUUCGAAGCAACGCGAGAACCUUA